This is a long non-coding RNA of Mytilus californianus (California mussel), 186 nucleotides long. RefSeq lists it as uncharacterized. Lineage: Eukaryota; Metazoa; Mollusca; Bivalvia; Mytilida; Mytilidae. The record is from RefSeq and is a predicted model, not a curated record. The transcript has 2 exons.
GUAUAAGAAAAACAGACCAAAACACAAAAACUUAACUAUAACCACUGAACCAUGAAAAUGAGGUCAAGGUCAGAUGACACCUGCCAGUUGGACAUGUACACCUUACAGUCCUUCCAUACACCGAAUAUACUAGACCUAUUGCUUAUAGUAUCUGAGAUAUGGACUUGACCACCAAAACUUAACCUU